GGAGGGGUAGCCAAGUGGUUAAGGCGAGGCCCUGCUAAGGCCUGUCCUUUUUUAAAGGGACUCGUGGGUUCGAAUCCCACCCCCUCCGCAA
RNAcentral lists this transfer RNA (91 nucleotides) under bacterium. RNAcentral's name for it is "tRNA-Ser". It matches the Rfam family "tRNA". From Rfam's summary of the family: Transfer RNA (tRNA) molecules are approximately 80 nucleotides in length. Their secondary structure includes four short double-helical elements and three loops (D, anti-codon, and T loops). Further hydrogen bonds mediate the characteristic L-shaped molecular structure. tRNAs have two regions of fundamental functional importance: the anti-codon, which is responsible for specific mRNA codon recognition, and the 3' end, to which the tRNAs corresponding amino acid is attached (by aminoacyl-tRNA synthetases). tRNAs cope with the degeneracy of the genetic code in two manners: having more than one tRNA (with a specific anti-codon) for a particular amino acid; and 'wobble' base-pairing, i.e. permitting non-standard base-pairing at the 3rd anti-codon position. The record is from RNAcentral.